UACAAAUGAUGAUAAAUCAAAAUUGAUGUCCAUGAAAGAUAAUAUCAUGAGCUUUUUAACACUGAAUUUAU
Small nucleolar RNA from Colletes gigas, 71 nucleotides. Lineage: Eukaryota; Metazoa; Arthropoda; Insecta; Hymenoptera; Colletidae. The record is from RefSeq and is a predicted model, not a curated record.